Molecule: ribosomal RNA, 440 nt
Filed under: uncultured bacterium
Lineage: Bacteria
Description: bacterial SSU rRNA
Rfam family: Bacterial small subunit ribosomal RNA
Source: RNAcentral
AACGCGAAGAACCUUACCCAGGCUUGACAUACAGAGGACGAUAUUAGAAAUAGUAUUUCCCGCAAGGGUCUCUGUACAGGUGCUGCAUGGCUGUCGUCAGCUCGUGCCGUGAGGUGUUGGGUUAAGUCCCGCAACGAGCGCAACCCUUGUCAUUAGUUGCCAACACGUAAAGGUGGGAACUCUAAUGAGACUGCCUGGGUUAACCAGGAGGAAGGUGAGGAUGACGUCAAGUCAGCAUGGCCCUUAUGUCUGGGGCUACACACGUUCUACAAUGGGUGCAACAGAGGGUAGCAGAACCGUGAGGCGAAGCAAAUCCCUAAAUGCACCCUCAGUUCAGAUUGUAGUCUGCAACUCGACUACAUGAAGUUGGAAUUGCUAGUAAUGGCGUGUCAGCAAUAACGCCGUGAAUACGUUCCCGGGCCUUGUACACACCGGUACUA